RNAcentral lists this ribosomal RNA (894 nucleotides) under uncultured bacterium. RNAcentral describes it as "bacterial SSU rRNA". It matches the Rfam family "Bacterial small subunit ribosomal RNA", at positions 26 to 896 of the family's 1533-position model. The record is from RNAcentral.
AGAACGAACGCUGGCGGCGUGCCUAACACAUGCAAGUCGAACGAGAAAGGUCCCUUCGGGGGCCCGGUAAAGUGGCGCACGGGUGAGUAACACGUGGGUAAUCUGCCCUCGAGUGGGGAACAACCCAGGGAAACUUGGGCUAAUACCGCAUAACAUCCCGACCUCUCUGGGGGACGGGAUCAAAGCCGGGGAUCGCAAGACCUGGCGCUUGAGGAGGAGCCUGCGUCUGAUUAGCUUGUUGGUGGGGUAACGGCCUACCAAGGCGACGAUCAGUAGCCGGCCUGAGAGGGUGAUCGGCCACACUGGAACUGAGACACGGUCCAGACUCCUACGGGAGGCAGCAGUGAGGAAUUUUGCGCAAUGGGGGAAACCCUGACGCAGCAACGCCGCGUGGAUGAUGAAGGCCUUCGGGUCGUAAAAUCCUGUCAAGUGGGAAGAAGAAUCCGCCGUGAAUAGCGGUCGGGUAUUGACUGUACCACUGGAGGAAGCCCCGGCUAACUCCGUGCCAGCAGCCGCGGUAAUACGGAGGGGGCGAGCGUUGUUCGGAAUUAUUGGGCGUAAAGGGCGCGUAGGCGGCCUUGUAAGUCGGUUGUGAAAUCCCUUGGCUUAACCAAGGAACUGCAACCGAAACUGCAGGGCUAGAGUCCGGGAGAGGGUAGUGGAAUUCCCAGUGUAGCGGUGAAAUGCGUAGAUAUUGGGAGGAACACCAGUGGCGAAGGCGGCUACCUGACCGGUACUGACGCUGAGGCGCGAAAGCUAGGGUAGCAAACAGGAUUAGAUACCCUGGUAGUCCUAGCUGUAAACGAUGAGAACUUGGUGCAGCGGGUAUUGACCCCUGCUGUGCCGUAGCUAACGCGUUAAGCUCUCCGCCUGGGGAGUACGGUCGCAAGGCUG